CCUACGGGCGGCAGCAGUGGGGAAUAUUGGGCAAUGGGCGCAAGCCUGACCCAGCAACGCCGCGUGAAGGAAGAAGGCUUUCGGGUUGUAAACUUCUUUUAUCAGGGACGAAGAAAGUGACGGUACCUCAGGAAUAAGCCACGGCUAACUACGUGCCAGCAGCCGCGGUAAUACGUAGGUGGCAAGCGUUAUCCGGAUUUAUUGGGUGUAAAGGGCGUGUAGGCGGGAAAGCAAGUCAGAUGUGAAAACUCAGGGCUCAACCCUGAGCCUGCAUUUGAAACUGUUUUGCUUGAGUGCUGGAGAGGUAAUCGGAAUUCCGUGUGUAGCGGUGAAAUGCGUAGAUAUAAGGAGGAACACCAGUGGCGAAGGCGGAUUGCUGGACAGUAACUGACGCUGAGGCGCGAAAGCGUGGGGAGCAAACAGGAUUAGAUACCCGAGUAGUC
Molecule: ribosomal RNA, 443 nt
Filed under: uncultured bacterium
Lineage: Bacteria
Description: partial 16S ribosomal RNA
Rfam family: Bacterial small subunit ribosomal RNA
Source: RNAcentral